Molecule: ribosomal RNA, 483 nt
Filed under: uncultured bacterium
Lineage: Bacteria
Description: partial 16S ribosomal RNA
Rfam family: Bacterial small subunit ribosomal RNA
Source: RNAcentral
GACGAACGCUGGCGGCGUGCUUAACACAUGCAAGUCGAACGCUGAAGCUCAGCUUUUGUUGGGUGGAUGAGUGGCGAACGGGUGAGUAACACGUGAGUAACCUGCCUCCUUCUUUGGGAUAACGCCCGGAAACGGGUGCUAAUACCGGAUAUUCACUGGUCUUCGCAUGGGGGUUGGUGGAAAGGGUUUUUCUGGUGGGGGAUGGGCUCGCGGCCUAUCAGCUUGUUGGUGGGGUGAUGGCCUACCAAGGCUUUGACGGGUAGCCGGCCUGAGAGGGUGACCGGUCACAUUGGGACUGAGAUACGGCCCAGACUCCUACGGGAGGCAGCAGUGGGGAAUAUUGCACAAUGGGCGCAAGCCUGAUGCAGCGACGCCACGUGAGGGAUGGAGGCCUUCGGGUUGUGAACCUCUUUCGCUCAUGGUCAAGCCGCAACAAUGGUUGUGGUGAGGGUAGUGGGUAAAGAAGCGCCGGCUAACUACGUG